Molecule: ribosomal RNA, 253 nt
Filed under: uncultured bacterium
Lineage: Bacteria
Description: partial 16S ribosomal RNA
Rfam family: Bacterial small subunit ribosomal RNA
Source: RNAcentral
CACGUAGGGGACGAGCGUUGUCCGGAUUCAUUGGGCGUAAAGCGCGCGUAGGCGGCUCGGAAAGUCGGUCGUGAAAUGCCGGGGCUCAACCCCGGGACUGCGUCCGAUACUUCCGGGCUGGAGGUAGGUAGGGGAGAUCGGAAUUCCUGGUGUAGCGGUGAAAUGCGCAGAUAUCAGGAGGAACACCGGUGGCGAAGGCGGGUCUCUGGGCCUUACCUGACGCUGAGGAGCGAAAGCAUGGGGAGCAAACAGG